CCAAGACUUAUUGUUGAUUGAUCUUUACCAUUAAAGCUCUAAUUGGCUAAGGAGAUUUUACAGAUGUUCAGAUGCAUGAUAGAGACGCGAAAGUGAGAAGACGACUUGGAUCACAUCACAGCACAAUCUUCACUGGACUUUGCAACAAUCAAUUUUUUCACUAUUAACUUCCAUGGCCAUGGCUUCUGCAAAGCUCAAUACUUUGUCUUCACAGUGGAUCGCCCACAGCACAUUUAAAUAGUUUAUAUUUAAAUUUAUAAACUAUUUUGUUUUUAUAUAUCUAUUUUUCAUAUUUAUAAAAUUCCUUAAUUUUUUUUCUGCAUCUCCUUCUAUCUCUCAACCUCCGUCCAUCAUCACGCUCCCACCACCUCUCUUCAAAAUUUUAACCUUACACAAAAUUCCUCAGAGCUAUUAGUGUUUUUUUUUUGAGAACUUUUCUUUUUUUAAGGUAUUACAUUAUUAUUCUGACUUCUUUAUUUUACUUGAUAUUAAAUGUAUAACUUAAUUAAUGAUCGAGUAAAAGUAAAAAUACAAUUACAAAAAUAUUUCUAUUAUUAUUUGUUAUAGUACAUGUAUUUUCCUAUAUAUAUAUAUAUAUAUAUACGUGUGUGUGUGUGUGUGUGUAGUAUUUUAAGAGUAGUAUUGAAAAUUUAUUUAUUUUUAAAAUAUAUAGUUAUUUUUAAAAAAAUAUUUAAUUAUUUAUUUCAUUAAAUAAGUUAUUUUUAUUUAUUGAAAAGUUUAUCUAAUUAAAAUUACCAAAUCGUGUAUCUUAUUAUAUAAUGAUAUUGAUAAUUAUUGUGUUAAAUAUUAAAGGUAAAAGAUGAAUACGCACUAAAUUCUUUUAAAACAAAUUUUGCAUUUGCAGAGAAAUAACCAAA
This is a long non-coding RNA of Vigna angularis (adzuki bean), 878 nucleotides long. RefSeq lists it as uncharacterized. The transcript is spliced from 3 exons. NCBI's taxonomy places the organism in Eukaryota, Viridiplantae, Streptophyta, Magnoliopsida, Fabales, Fabaceae. The record is from RefSeq and is a predicted model, not a curated record.